AACGAACGCUGGCGGCGUGCUUAAUACAUGCAAGUCGAACGUGAAUCCCGACUUCGGUUGGGAUGAAAGUGGCGAACGGGUGAGUAACACGUAAGUAAUCUGCCUUCAAGUUUGGGAUAACCCUGCCAACGCGGGGCUAAUACCGGAUGUGGUCCAGCUGACACAUGUUGGCUGGAUUAAAGGUCGCGAGGCCGCUUGGAGAUGAGCUUGCGGCCCAUUAGUUAGUUGGUGAGGUAACGGCCCACCAAGACGAAGAUGGGUAGCCGGCCUGAGAGGGUGUACGGCCACAUUGGGACUGAGAUACGGCCCAGACUCCUACGGGAGGCAGCAGUAGGGAAUUUUGCGCAAUGGACGGAAGUCUGACGCAGCAACGCCGCGUGAAGGAUGACGGCCUUCGGGUUGUAAACUUCUGUUGGAUGGGAAAAAAAGCCUAGGAAUAGGAAUUGAUGGUACCAUUCGAGUAAGCACCGGCUAACUACGUG
This 482-nucleotide ribosomal RNA is filed under the name uncultured bacterium. RNAcentral's name for it is "bacterial SSU rRNA". It matches the Rfam family "Bacterial small subunit ribosomal RNA", at positions 29 to 507 of the family's 1533-position model. The record is from RNAcentral.